This 776-nucleotide ribosomal RNA is filed under the name uncultured Actinomycetes bacterium. RNAcentral's name for it is "bacterial SSU rRNA". It matches the Rfam family "Bacterial small subunit ribosomal RNA", at positions 565 to 1340 of the family's 1533-position model. The record is from RNAcentral. Lineage: Bacteria; Bacillati; Actinomycetota; Actinomycetes.
GAGCUCGUAGGUGGUUUGUCACGUCGUCUGUGAAAUUCCGGGGCUUAACCUCGGGCGUGCAGGCGAUACGGGCAAUACUUGAGUGCUGUAGGGGAGACUGGAAUUCCUGGUGUAGCGGUGAAAUGCGCAGAUAUCAGGAGGAACACCAAUGGCGAAGGCAGGUCUCUGGGCAGUUACUGACGCUGAGGAGCGAAAGCAUGGGUAGCGAACAGGAUUAGAUACCCUGGUAGUCCAUGCCGUAAACGGUGGGCGCUAGGUGUAGGGGACUUCCACGUUCUCUGUGCCGUAGCUAACGCAUUAAGCGCCCCGCCUGGGGAGUACGGCCGCAAGGCUAAAACUCAAAGGAAUUGACGGGGGCCCGCACAAGCGGCGGAGCAUGUGGAUUAAUUCGAUGCAACGCGAAGAACCUUACCUGGGCUUGACAUACACCGGACCGGCGUAGAGAUACGUCUUCCCUUGUGGCCGGUGUACAGGUGGUGCAUGGUUGUCGUCGGCUCGUGUCGUGAGAUGUUGGGUUAAGUCCCGCAACGAGCGCAACCCUUGUCUUAUGUUGCCAGCACGUGAUGGUGGGGACUCAUGAGAGACUGCCGGGGUCAACUCGGAGGAAGGUGGGGAUGACGUCAAAUCAUCAUGCCCCUUAUGUCCAGGGCUUCACACAUGCUACAAUGGUCGGUACAGCAGGUCGCGAACUCGUGAGAGUAAGCCAAUCCUCCAAAGCCGGCCUCAGUUCGGAUUGGGGUCUGCAACUCGACCCCAUGAAGUCGGAGUCGCUAGUA